AUUUCAAGAAGAAAGGGCGUUUGCUAGUUAGAUUGAAAAAAAAAAAAUCUGGUCCUAUUUGAAAUCCUUUUGUGAAAUGCUCAGAAUGACCUGGCAGAUAAUGAGUGACUAUGUAAAAUACAGUUAAUUGUUUGAAAUACGAAAAUUAUUUUAAAAUCUUAUUUAAUGCUAAUAGAUCAUUUUUCACGAGGGCCUCCUUUUCAACUGAACCAUUGUCUAGAAAAAUGUCACAGAUUUCAUAGUCGAUAAGCUUUAAUACAUAUGUUUGGAGUAGCGAUGAACAGCUAAUGGGUUCAUUAUUCACGACAAUUGUACAAGCACUGUUUUCGUCGUCAUCAUCCUCUAUAGACGUUAGCUAAUUUAUCCGCGGUAGGGCUCCUGAGCAGUGCAGUGUUGUUUCUGUUGUUGGGCAGACAGAGGAAUUAAUGCAAGGUGAAAGGCCGUGAUUCUCCAAGGUUCUAUUUCUGACCACUGAUCCCGCUGAAAUAUCAAAGACAAACUGUUGACAGUGAGCCAACAGAAAGGCAAAACGUUUGCCAGUUUGAUUGGAAAGUGUUGCUGGUGUUUACUUACCCAGAAGCCUUAAACGAAGCAGGGAUCUGGAAACAACGAAGAGCCCCACAUGCAUUUCCACUUUACUGCUCCAGCUACAACGCCAGACUCUCCGCCACCUGUGGAUAGCACCAGGGAGCUCCCCAUAUCCUUCCCUCCAGGGAGACAAAGCCAACUUUGCUUUUCUUAGAGCUCGCUCUUCUUCUUCUACCCAGAUCAUAAGGGGACCUCCUCAAAGUGAGCAUUUUCACCGUCAGGCCGGUUUGCAAUUCUCUCUCUCUCCAGCAAACAAUCUUUAGUCGCUUGUCCCUGUGACCCAGCAUGUGAAUCUUUUUUGGUCAAAUGCAUUCAUGGCUAUGGAAGAAGAGCUGGCCAGCUUCCUAGCUUCCUAGAAGCAGCAACACGUCACUGCCUUUUCUUCGUGAUCGUUUUUUGCACAUUUUUAUUUGGUUUGCCUAAAAGUGAUACAGAUGAAAUUAACCAGAAGUUAAUCUUAGAGGAUCUGGUAGCGCCACAGAUAGGCUAUUAAGAUUGUGGAACUCUUGAUCCCGCAAGGACCCAAAUCUUUCUUUUGGAGUUUUCCUGUGUUGGCUAAUUCAGCUUCAGAGUAAAGAGUCUUGAGUAGGCUGUGGAGGUUUGUACGGUUCCGGCACUUACUAAUUAUAUAAAUUUGGAAACUUGGGCAAAUCGUUUUGUUUCUUUAAAUUUUAGUUUCAUCAUCUAUAAAAUAGAAGUAAUCCAAGUGAAGUACUUAAUAAUGUCUACCUGAUAUCAAGCAUUAAAAAAUUGUGACUACUAUCUAUCAUUUCAUAGCAAUCAUAAUUUGAUAAGAAUGUAUAAAUGCAUAAAGGAAAUGUAUAAAAAGAAAUUGGAUCUUUUUAUCAGGAUAACAGAUUCCUUUGAAUUUUUUGGAAAAUGUUCAUAAUUUGUUUUAUUUGCUACUCCUAGAAAGAAAAUAUAACCUUCCUUAAGUACAAACAACUGGCUUGCCUAAGAUUUCCUAGAACCAUUUGAAUUUUGUGACCAAAAGCAAACUAGCUUUAUGCUACGUCUGCUUAUUCUUAUUUCCUUUUCUGAAAUUCCCCUUCAAAAAACCACUGACACUUCCUUAUAUUGUCCCUCCAAUCUUUCAAGCCAUCCCCGUGGCUGACCCUGGACUUUGUCACCAUGCCCUUUCUGCCAUUUCCUUAUAAUCCACAUAAUUUCUGGAAGCUGGAUGAAGAUAAAAAUGGAGCAGGUCUGUCCACAAGAGAUUAUAACAAUGAUUGUGGUGGAGAGGGCACCGAGGGGAGAAAUAGUUCAUCUGGAUCCUGGCAGAGGAGAGAAGGUCUUCAAAAGAUGAGUGCCCUGUAUUUAGCUUAAUUUUCUUUGGCUUUUCUUCUUAGGAACAAUUCUGGUCUGAAUUAUUUCUCUUGAGAUGGUGUCAACAGAGAGGCACAGCGGUUGCGAAACUUUUAUUAACUCUGGCACAGUCCCGUCCACAGGACACAAAACUUUUUCAAAGCUGGGAAGCAGUCGGUGGUUGGAAAAAAUAGAGAUGUGAGCAGUGGGAGGAGAGGGGAGCAGGCGGGGGUAUCGACGGGCCUCAGGAAGCUAAGUGGAGGCAUCUCGAAGUGUCCUCUUUCAGGGCAGCACUGGCAGAGCCCGGGACCUUGGGCUCAACAUAAGGGUUGGGAAGUGAUGAAUGUUCUCCAUAAAAAUAUAUGAGGAAGUUAAUCUUUUUGUUCAUAAAAGAAAGAAUACAGAGAAGCUGAGGUGGGCGAGGCUGGGAACUUGAGGGCAAGACAAAUGACUUUUAAGAAUAGAAAUGUCUAGUAUUCAAUUCUAGAUUUUUGGUGAAGAUGCAAAGCAAAUCUUUUCCUUUCCUUUCACACCUCUACAAAACUUUAGUAAAGUCUGCGACCCACACAGGGGCUCUUUUAUGUCUAGAAAUCAAGGGAAAGACCUGAGGUCAGUGUGUGAGUUAGUGUGGAACAGGAAACACUGAUUCAUCAAAGCCAAGAAGCUGGAACCUGAAGAAUCCAUGAGAACCAAAGUUCCAGAGGAAGUCACAAGAAUCUUAAGAAAGGCAAUGGAUUUUCUCUGGGUUGUUGUUUAGAGACUGAGAUCAAUCUUAUAAUAAUCUCAAUGGGGCAGCAUGACCCCAGAGGGCAGCUGAUGGUGAGUCCAAGGCCCUGACUGGAUUUGAAGCCUGCCUCAGCCAUAUUCUAGCUAGUUAAUAUGAAGAAGGUACAACUUGGCUUCUUCAUCAGUAAAGAGGGAAUAAUAUUUUUGUAAUAAUUGAUUCGGGGUUACCAAUGAAUACUAAAGUAGUUAGGUGAAGCAUUGUUGAAGAAACAGAAAUUCUAAAAGUAGCACCCCGCAUAUUACUUUUGAAUUAUAAGGGAAAAUGUGUCUUUCCAAUUGAGAAAUGGCAAGUGAUCGUGUAACUGAGACGUAUACAAGAGAUCAAACUGAAUGUCACCAAUAAUAAGAGUGAUAAUGGUACAAAGGUUUUAUGGAAGACCAUCCUUGGUUUGGGGAGAUCCAUGCUGAAAUAUUUAGAGGUAAAGUGUCAUGAUGUCUACACCUUACUUUAAAAUUCACCAUAUAUAUGCCAUGUGUAUAUAUAUAUAUACACAUACAUGUUAUAUAAUGUGCAUAUAUGUGUGUGUAUCUCUCUAUGUGUAGUCUCAUAUAUGCACGAGAGACAUAUAUAUGUAUAUGUGUGAUAUACACACACAUAUAUGUAUGUCUCUCUUUCUCACUUUUUCUCUCUCUAGAUAUCUUUCCCUAUCUCUCUCUCUCUAUAAAUCUAUUAUACAUGUUAUAUAGAUAAAGAUAUUUAUAGAGAGUGUACAAAUGGGGCAAAAUAUUAGCAAUCAGUGAAUAUAAGUGAAGAGUAUAUGAGUUUUUAUGCUACUACUCUUCCAGAUUUUUCAAAAUAAAAUGUUUACUGUGUAAAUAAUUCAAAGUACUAUACCCAGCACCGUGGCAGCUGCCACAUCUAUGCUCGUUUUGUGUUGAUGACCUUUUCCUCUAUUAGGCUUGUUCACUUUUCCUCAAUCAUGAUAGGCCCUCAUUAUGGUUAUUUAAAUAUACCUUGGGUCUAGUUACAUUGCCCUAAGAAAAAAGUAGUUUCUGAAAAGACAUAAAGCACAAAAAGGGCAGAGUGUGGUAAAAAUGCCAGGAGUGGCAGUAAUUGGCUGCUCCACAAGGUUGUUCUGUUCUCCAAAAGGGACAUCCCAUGCUGUUGCAUGUUAAAUAUUUUACAGAAUUAAGAGGAAGAAAUCAGUAGUUUGAAAAAAAAAACAAUAUCCAGAAUAUUAACCUUUCUCAAUCAAUACCAAAAUAGAGCAAAUGUUUUAUCUGAGUGCUGAUUUAGUAACGCAAAAUCAAGAUUAUUUUUUCUUAGUGCUUUUCUCCCCAAGGUAAUAGGUUUUAGCACCUGUGGAAAUGAUGAACAUUUAUUUGGAAGUUGCCUGAGGGGUCUGAAUUGUGUGCACAGUUAAUUAUACACCAUUAAAGAUAUUUCUGCCAAACCAGCUGCUCAACUUAACUAGUGGCCAGUGUGUGUCUUGAUUUUUAGGAUGAAGACUCCAGAAUUCCAGGAUAUUUUUUUCUUUUGCUGUGCCUACUUCAUAUCCUUAAAGCUGGAAUGGAUAUAGGAAAGAGACAAGAGGAAUAUACUCAGUCUGGGUCCCCUUUGGGUCAUGAUUCUCUUGAAUUCCACUUCUUCUGUUGGUGACUUUGUAAAUGAAUCCUUUUCUUAAUUCUAUUAAUCCUCAAAGCUCUCCUGGUGGAGAGAAGGGAAAAGCAAAUUAUUUAUCAAACCAACUUGUGAGGUGAGAAAACAGGGGGACUUAUGGGGAAAUUAUUUUCUAAACCAUGCAAUAGAAACUCAUCUGGCUUUCUUUUACCCCAUGUAUAUAAAGGAUUAUGUGAAAUAUAGGGAGAUGUGAAGAAGAAAAGAGUUUAGGACAUAGUUUCUGGUAACUAAAUAAUAGUAUUAACAACAACAGCAAUAUAAGAUAGUGUAUGUAUGUGAAAUUGCUAUGCAAACUGCAAACUUCUGCCCAAAUGCAAGUUACUAUUAUUUUAUUCAUCAUAGUUAUUAUUAUCAUCAUCAUCAUCAUCUUCAUUGUCGUCUAUGUUAUAAUGGUGGAGUUCUCAGGAAUUGUGAAGGAAGAAGAAAAAUGAUUUACUGUUUGGAAAAACUAAUUAUAAGCAAGUUUUGAGUGAAAGCUGACAUACUAAAGGUUUUUAAAGACCUAGUUGGGCAGGGAGCCAGGCAGGUGUAUUCAAAUGGAAGAUGCAGUAGGAGUGAUGGGGUGUGAGAGGGAGGAUGGCACCUGAAACUCUCUGAUGGCAGCAGAAUGGGACAGUAAUAGGAAUUUGGCAGUCAGGGUGGGAAGAAAAUGUGGGAGGAUGGGAGGUCCAGUAGCUGGAAGACAAUAAAGCCCAUAGUCUUAGAUUUUAACGGAAUUCAGGAAGCCGUAAAGAGCAACUAGGAUUCUAAGAAAAGAAAUAGCAUGACAAAGUGAUGCUUGGGAAGAUAAAGUCUUCUCAAGAUUUUCAAUAGAUUGUGGACAAUCAAAAGCAGAAGAGGAAGGAGGUUUUUAAGAUAGAGCAGAUUCAGGGAAAUAAAGAUCUUGCUUUGAUCAGCGAUGCUAAGACUGAGACAAUGGAUGUCUUGAGAGCACAGCUGGGCAUAUGCUCAAGAAGUAAAGCUUUGUUAGACAUUAGGUGUGUGGGAACAAAAGAAAGCUAAAAGAAGGCUUUGGAUCUAAAGUCAGAAAAGACUCUGAGAGCCUGGAAAGAAAGACAGACCUAUGUGAGACUCAUAUAUGUUGGAUGAGACUGGAAACCAGAUUAGGAUUAAAAACCGAUGCUUUUAGGAUUUUGUCACUCCCAGUCAUCAUCGGAAAACUGCUGAUCACUGGCUUCUGCUCUCUAGUUCUCUUUCUCCCAAGUUGCUCUGAAAGAACCUUCUGUCCAUCAGAGCUGCAGGGCCCCCAGUGACCUGCUUGCAGGCUCCCUUUAUGGUGUGGGGACAAAGGCAGUGCCAGGGCAGGGACUGUCAGCUUGCUGAGGCAUGCGUUUUAGGUACUACUGUUGUUUAGUUUCAGAGCACUUCAAAUAACAAGUGAUUUUAAAAAUGCCUCAUUGAUGUAACCUCUGUAUUACUGGCUCUUGCCCUCUCCUUGCAAAGAAAGAAUUGACUCCCCUGCAAGGUUCUGUCUCAAUUCAUAUGUGCUGUGUGGCACAGCCAUGUGCAUUUGUACACAGGGAGGAUGCGUGGGAUGCUGUAACUAUCUGGAACUGCCGUCCCUCUAUGGGGCUCCCAUUCUCAACACAGCUUCUCAUAGUUUUCUCUCCUGGCUGCACAAUGUUGUGGGAAGAAAGAAAUUUUAGAGUCCUUUUAAAAAAUUUAUCUUUUUAGUAUAUUCUGCUGGCAGGUUACCUAAACAGGACUCCUUAUACCAUCAUAUCAUAAAUUCAUCAUGAAAGUCAUUUAGUGUUUUACAUCAGUCCAAAGGCCUGGACUGGAGGACAAAUCUGGACAACAUACAACACCCACUGUAAUUAUAUAGACUCUUUGGAAAUAGAAAGAUGCUAUAUUUAUUUAGCAAUGCUUAUAUAGUUCUUGCUAUGUGCCAUGCCCUGUUCUAAGUGCUUUAUUUAAUUCUUUUAACAGCCCUAUGAGGUUGAUAUAACUAUUGUGAUCCUCCUUUUGAUUUUCAGAUGUGGAAACUGAGGCACAGAGAAACCAGAUAGGACGCUCACCCUCCCAGUAAGCUCGUGGCUGAACUUGAACCUAGAAUGAGCCUUCCUGACAAAAGUCCAAGAGGCAGCUUAACGGAGAACGUGGAGUGUUCCACUGCAUGAGGGUUUCGAGGCAACAUCAAUUUGGCCGUGAUACGUUUCCAUGGUUUCUACACUUAUCACUCUCUAUCUUGGUAAUGAGCACCAAUAAAAUAUGACCCGACUGGAUUAUAGCAAGAGAAGAAUCUGAAGAACACUCCUUUUAUAGUUUCUUCUCUUGUGAAACACUUGACUGACUCCUGCGAAGGCUAUCCUAAAUUUCGCUGGACGGUGCAGUCUGAGGUCAUCGGCUUUCCUUAUUUCAGGAGGGUUCCAUGCCGCAAUCAGAUCAAUAUUGUGUGCCUUGCCUGUGUUAUUAGGAGAAAGAGAUUUCUGCCUAGGAACUGGAGUGAGAAAAAUAAUGCUAGAGAGCAUCAUAAACAGGAAAAUACCCAGUGCUGCCAAUGUCUAUGAAAUAUGCAAAAAUCUGCAUCUCUUAUGGAUAAGUAACAGAUGGAGCUAUCAGAUAAUAGGAAAAAGAAAAAGAUAAAUUGUAAUAUAAUUGACCCUCCAGAGCUGUUUGGAGAAUAGACACACUGCACUCAACUUUCAGCUUGUUAGGGCUGGGUUAGGUGAUGGAAUGACGGGAGCAGUUUCUCAUAGUGUGAUGUUUUAAAGAUCACUCAGUCACACUUAGGUCCUUUGUGGAAGAUUCAACUUCUAGUUAUGUUUUCUGUGCCAUGUGGGCAGCCCUUUCAUUGAAGGAAUUCCCAGCUGUAUUGCCUUUUAAUAAAAAGAUGCACCAGGAUUGGGAAGAAAAGGCUUGCUCCCUGCAUGUUGAGCUGCACACGCCCCUCCUCCACCGCAGCCCUCUCCCUCUCUGCUCUCCAGCCCCUGGCUUCACUAGCAGCUGCCUCUCAGCCUCCCUUGUUGGGAAAGAGUGCUUACUAAUGGGCCUUCUGGCACCUAUCCUGGUGAGUGAAAGUGGCAUACAGGACCUUGUACUUCAAGCGUUUGGCAGAGCAAUACAACCGGAAAGCCGAGAGCCCCUGCAGUGCUGGGGCAGCGCUGCUGACAACAGGCACCCUUGCUGCUGGGGCCUUGACUGCUGCUGACGCCUGAGUCAGGCACGGAGCAUCCCUGGCAGAAGGUCAGAGGGACCUGUUUUCCCUGAGCACUGAGAAACCCCCUCUAGCAACCACUGAUGACAGCUGGUGAAAAGCAAGUUUCUUUUCUUUUUUAAUAAAAUUGAGAAAAAGAGAGAGAAAAGAAAUUUAAGUUCAAGGCUAACUGAACAGAGGUUGCACAGUGACCGUGAAAACUCCUAUCCAUUUUCAUGUUCAGAGACAUCUUGGAGAUCACAGGUUGAGAGUGCAGAAUAGAAAAACCACCUUGUUUUGAAAUCCUCAAAUGUUUACGUCCAGGGAGAAAGCUCUGGCCAUGGCCAAGUUGUCGGUGACAUGAAUCUCGGCUCCAUUCUACACGGAGUAUUUCUGAGCUAAUUCUCACAGCCCCUACAUUUCAAGAGAUGAACAUACACACCAGAAGGACAUUACAGGAAAAUUGGAUUGCUCGACUGUGAGUGAGAUAUGGAAAGGCCUUUUCCCCACCAAGCAGCAGACGAAAUUGUAACAGCCAGAUCACUGCGAGGGCCCCGCCCACCUUGCCAAUCUCCAAGCUUUCAAAGGUCUCUGUCCAGCGGUGGAUCAAACACCUAGUAAUGCAUCCUGGGAGCAGAGAGGCUCCAGUCUCUUUCACAUUCAGUUAAAAUAAGGAGGGAUGGCAUCUAUGAAGAUGCGCACACCCAAUGAUGUGCAUAUGCACCACAAGAUGACAUGUGCACACCGGUGUGCACAGACCAGCAGGUCGGGGGACUCUCCAUGGCUAUCGUCUUCCUCGUAUGACUGGGAGACCCAAGCUGCUUGGAUCGUAUGGCUGUGACAUUUCAAUACCUGGUCUCCACAUUUACUGCCAACAAGAAAGCAAGGGAUGUGAAAUCACAAAGGGAGUGUUUAAUCCUCCAGCAUGGAAGUAACACACGCAUCACAUCGACUCACAUUCAUUUGUCACAACCUGCCAUAAAGCCCUUUUUACCUGCCUGAAGGCUGGGAAGUAUCAUCUUCUGUAUGUGUAGACAGGAGAGGAGAAUCAGCUACUGGCGGGCACUAAUGAGAUCUAUCACACAUACUUUAAUAAAAAUAAUUUUUAGGGAUAUCUAAUAUAAAUUAUAUGUUGUAACCAUGAUAGAAAAAAUAUUGGCUAAUGUUUGUCAUAAAUUAACGGUGGAUGAAAUCUAUUUAAGUAAGAUAAAGAAUUUAUCUAACAUAAGAAAAAAAGAGGCAACUUUAAUUACAAAAUGUUAAAAUGUUUGUUGAUUAAGGAAAACCAUAAACAAAGUCAAAUCUAAGCAAAUCAAAAUGUAAGUAACAAAAUGUUAAUCUCCCUAAUGUACAAAUAAGCUCCAAUAAAUGGAAUGGAAAAAACCCAGAACAAUGGAAAAAAGGCACGUGCAUAAUAUUUACAGAAGUGGUAAUUAAACUGAUAAUGAUGCUUAUACUGACUAGUAAUUAGUGAAACAUUUUACCCAUCAGAGCUACAGAAUUGUUCAGAUUGAUAAUUUACAGUUCCAAUGAAGUUAUGGGGAAAUAGAUGUUAGUUUCACACACUAUUGGAGGGAAUGUAAAUUACACUAAUCUUGUGGAAAGUAAUUUGAAGUGAUAUAUUCAAAUUUUAUAUAUGUCAGUCCUAUAACUCAGCAAUUCCAUGUCAGGGAAUCUACACAAAAAAAUACUUGUAUAGAGCCUGAAGCAUGUAAGUUCAAGAAUGCUCAUUUCAAUAUUGUCUGUAAUAGUACAAAAUAAGUGCCAACCUAAAUACCCAUUAAUAAGGGACUGGUUAAACAAUUCAUAGUUUAUCCAUUGCAUGCAAUUCUAUAUGCCUCCAAAACUAUAGACUUACUCCCCAAAAUGAUUGUUCAGUUACUAUCUUUUUGCCAUAAUGCCAUUUGAAAAUUUAUACCACUUUUCGGUGACUUUCAUUUUAUUUUUUUAGUAGCAGUGCUUUCACCUAAAAACCUACAAAAUAGGGGGCCGGCCCCGUGACCGAGGGGUUAAGUUCUUGCGCUCUGCCUUUGGCGGCCCAGGGUUUUGCUUGUUCGGAUCCUGUGCGUGACCAUGGCACCAGUCAUCAGGCCACGUUGAUGCGGUGUCCCACAUGCCGCAACUAGGAGCCACAACUAAAAAUAUACAACUAUGUACUGGGGGAAUUGGGGGAGAAAAAGCAGAGGAAAAAAAAAAGAAGAAGAUUGGCAACAGUUGUUAGCUCAUGUGCCAAUCUUUAAAAAAGAGAAAAAAUAAAUAAAUAAAAUAAAAAUAAAAACCUACGAAAUAAAUAUGACCUAAAAAACUAUAUUUUGACUUUAUUAUUUUAGACAAGGGCACACUCAAAAUUUACUCAAUACAAAAAUUUCUAUGCAGAGACGAUAUGUGGGACAGAUUUCAAUUGCUGUCAGAUUUGUCUUCCUUUGUAUGGGCACACAGAACACGAGGGAUAAAGAAGCAGCAACUUCUAUGACUCUGGUCUUUUAUGCACAUGUACUCCUAUUUGUAAAUGUUUUGACCCACUCUUGUGUUUAGUCUUUAUUUUCAAGUGUACUUUGAAUUAAAGUUAACUGUGAGCCCCCAAAUAGCUCAAAAACUGAUAAGUAAGUGUUGUUGUAGAAAGAAAAGUUAGGAAAAUUUUAAUCGUGGAGCAAAGGAUGAGUGAAAUAAAAGAGGAUGGAAGCAGGAGACAGAAGUAAAGAUUCUGCAGUCUUUUAGGAUAGUUCACUCUGCUUAAUACGCGAUCUUGAAUGCCUGGCUGAAGGUCGGUUACCUGAUCUCCCCUAGUCCUCCUUAGAACACCUCCCUCGCACCUCUGCUCCACCUGCCCAUUCACUGUCUGCCCCGCCUUAGUGAGUACACUGAACUUUCAUGAUGUUAUUGCAUUGACUUCCUUCAUAAAAAGCUGAUUUUGUUUUCCCUCAAAUUGUUUCUUAUUGCUUAUGUAAACUUGGUUUUAUUGUCAAUCAAUCGGUUUUUCUUCGUGAAAAUUGUUUUGGCGUCUUAGGUUGGCAGGAAGGAAAACAUAGGCCAGAAAGGAAAUCCUUGAAAGGAAUCAUAAUUUUUCCCAUUAAAAUUGAUAUAAAUAUUGCUUUUCAAUUUAAACGACUUUAUAGCUAGUGGCAUAGUUUGAGUUGUGAAUUAAAUUUGUUAAGCAGGCCAUGAGCAUAUUAAAGAAAUUUGUGCAUAAGGCUGUGCAAGGUUAUCUGUGAUUGGUAAGUGGAAAAAGAAAGUUGCUGAAUAUUAUAUGUUAUGAACUCAUUUUUGUAAAAAUGAUCUGGAAUGACAUUAUUAAUAGUGAUUAUGCCUGGGCUUCUAGAAUGCUAGUUAUUAGUUAUGAGAGAUCUGAGACACAGUGCUAAGGAUCCCAGCUCUAUAACUUGUUCACUGUAAAACUUUGGCCAACAUAGCUCUCCUCAAAAGCUUCACUUUUUUGUAACCUGAAUAUCACAGAUCAUAAUUAUUCUACCUCACAGGGUGGUUGUGAUGAUUCAAUGAGGUAAUCAACUGCCAGACACAGUAGGUGGGCUACACAUUGUAGCCAUUGUUAUUAUUUUAUGUACAUCUGUAUUGUUCAUUUAUUUUAAAAUGAACACGUCUUAACUUUGUAAAAAGAUUAAAAUAGAUCUAUAAGUUGUGUUGAGCUUUUAUUUAUUUAUUUAUUUUGAGGAAGAUUAGCCCUGAGCUAACUACUGCCAGUCCUCCUCUUUUUGCUGAGGAAGCCUGGCCCUGAGCUAACGUCGUGCCCAUCAUCCUCCACUUUAUAUGUGGGACGCCUACAACAGCAUGGCGUGCCAAGCGGUGCCAUGUCCACACCCAGGAUCCGAACCAGUGAACCCCGGGCCGAGGAGAAGCGGAACGUGCAAACUGAACUGCUGCGCCCCCGGGCCGGCCCCUGGGCUGAGCUUUUAGAAUAGGUUUUCCUAUAUCACAAAUGACUCCUCUUUCCUGAAGAAUUUGAAUAAAUGUGUAAAUUUGGAUAAAUUUGAAUAAAUGCUUAUCUGAACCAACCGUCGAUUCCUGGGUCUAGUGUUUGCUCUGUUUCCACACUCCUGCUACAGCCUGAUGGAGAUGCUUCUCUAGUUCUUGACUCCCAGGUAAGGUCUUUUCAUUUUGAGUACCAUAAUUUUAAAUGACAAAUGAAAUACGAGUUUUCUUCACAUAAUGUAUAAAUGCAUACCGAUUAAUACCAUUUAUUAAUUCUUGCUUCUGUCUCAUGUGGCUUUUUGUUUUCAUGUUUUGAGGGGAGAAGAGACUUGGCUAUGAGAACACCUUAAUGUGGAAACCCUGAGUUCGUGGUUUCCACUCACCUGUUUGCCAGCGAGGCUGAUAAAUGGUGCUGGGUAAGGAAGCUGGGAGCUUCUGGAAAUGUGACAGAAACCCUCUGUCCACCACCACACCAGAGACACGGGGCCCUUAGAGGUAAAUUCAUGAGGUUAAGGGCAAGCAAAAC
This 11889-nucleotide long non-coding RNA is filed under the name Equus asinus (donkey). Its description in RNAcentral is "lncRNA (ENSEASG00005035778.1)". Lineage: Eukaryota; Metazoa; Chordata; Mammalia; Perissodactyla; Equidae. The record is from RNAcentral.